This 483-nucleotide ribosomal RNA is filed under the name uncultured bacterium. Its description in RNAcentral is "partial 16S ribosomal RNA". It matches the Rfam family "Bacterial small subunit ribosomal RNA", at positions 28 to 507 of the family's 1533-position model. The record is from RNAcentral.
GACGAACGCUGGCGGCGUGCUUAACACAUGCAAGUCGAACGAUGAAGCGGGUGCUUGCACUCGUGGAUUAGUGGCGAACGGGCGAGUAACACGUGAGUAACCUGUCCUUUUCUUUGGGAUAACGGCUGGAAACGGCUGCUAAUACUGGAUAUUCAGGCUGCAUCGCAUGGUGUGGUUUGGAAAGGUUUUUUCUGGGAUUGGGUGGGCUCGCGGCCUAUCAGCUUGUUGGUGGGGUGAUGGCUUACCAAGGCUUUGACGGGUAGCCGGCCUGAGAGGGUGGUCGGUCGCACUGGGACUGAGAUACGGCCCAGACUCCGACGGGAGGCAGCAGUGGGGAAUAUUGCACAAUGGACGAAAGUUUGAUGCAGCGACGCCGCGUGGAGGGUGUAGGCCUUCGGGUUGUGAACUCCUUUGUCUCGCGAAAAAGGCACAGUUUUGGCUGUGUUGAUGGUAGUGGGGGAAGAAGCGCCGGCUAACUACGUG